GGGGUUGUAGCUUAGUGGUAAAGCACUUGCCUAGUGUGUAUGAGGCACUGGGUUCUAUCCUCAGCACCA
This 69-nucleotide transfer RNA is filed under the name Marmota marmota marmota (Alpine marmot). It matches the Rfam family "tRNA". From Rfam's summary of the family: Transfer RNA (tRNA) molecules are approximately 80 nucleotides in length. The record is from Rfam by way of RNAcentral. Lineage: Eukaryota; Metazoa; Chordata; Mammalia; Rodentia; Sciuridae. RNAcentral also lists the same sequence under 3 other names.